Molecule: long non-coding RNA, 228 nt
Organism: Poecilia latipinna (sailfin molly)
Lineage: Eukaryota; Metazoa; Chordata; Actinopteri; Cyprinodontiformes; Poeciliidae
Exons: 3
Source: RefSeq, a predicted model, not a curated record
CACCCUUUUGGAGGCAAAGCGACGUGAAGAAAGGCCAAGGCAGGAAUUUGGCCAAAAGUAACAGAGCAACAGAGCUACUGGAGAAGGUUAACUGCAAAGAAAGAAACGGUUAACAGCAAGGCAGAAAAAUCCAUAAAAGGCUACUUGAGUUUUAGCUUCAGUCAAUAAGAGAACAAGCUCUUAUGGUGGUUGAUGACAAUGGACGGCUUUAGUAAAUCAUCAUUUUAC